GACGAACGCUGGCGGCGUGCUUAACACAUGCAAGUCGAACGGAAAGGCCCUUUCGGGGGUACUCGAGUGGCGAACGGGUGAGUAACACGUGGGUGAUCUGCCCUGCACUUUGGGAUAAGCCUGGGAAACUGGGUCUAAUACCGGAUAGGACCACGGUCUGCAUGGAUUGUGGUGGAAAGCUUUUGCGGUGUGGGAUGGGCCCGCGGCCUAUCAGCUUGUUGGUGGGGUGAUGGCCUACCAAGGCGACGACGGGUAGCCGGCCUGAGAGGGUGACCGGCCACACUGGGACUGAGAUACGGCCCAGACUCCUACGGGAGGCAGCAGUGGGGAAUAUUGCACAAUGGGCGCAAGCCUGAUGCAGCGACGCCGCGUGGGGGAUGACGGCCUUCGGGUUGUAAACCUCUUUCAGCAUCGACGAAGCGCAAGUGACGGUAGAUGCAGAAGAAGCACCGGCCAACUACGUGCCAGCAGCCGCGGUAAUACGUAGGGUGCGAGCGUUGUCCGGAAUUACUGGGCGUAAAGAGCUCGUAGGUGGUUUGUCGCGUCGUCCGUGAAAACUCACAACUCAAUUGUGGGCGUGCGGGCGAUACGGGCAGACUUGAGUACUGCAGGGGAGACUGGAAUUCCUGGUGUAGCGGUGGAAUGCGCAGAUAUCAGGAGGAACACCGGUGGCGAAGGCGGGUCUCUGGGCAGUAACUGACGCUGAGGAGCGAAAGCGUGGGGGAGCGAACAGGAUUAGAUACCCUGGUAGUCCACGCCGUAAACGGUGGGUACUAGGUGUGGGUUUCCUUCCUUGGGAUCCGUGCCGUAGCUAACGCAUUAAGUACCCCGCCUGGGGAGUACGGCCGCAAGGCUAAAACUCAAAGGAAUUGACGGGGGCCCGCACAAGCGGCGGAGCAUGUGGAUUAAUUCGAUGCAACGCGAAGAACCUUACCUGGGUUUGACAUGCACAGGACGCCGGCAGAGAUGUCGGUUCCCUUGUGGCCUGUGUGCAGGUGGUGCAUGGCUGUCGUCAGCUCGUGUCGUGAGAUGUUGGGUUAAGUCCCGCAACGAGCGCAACCCUUGUCCUAUGUUGCCAGCACGUAAUGGUGGGGACUCGUAGGAGACUGCCGGGGUCAACUCGGAGGAAGGUGGGGAUGACGUCAAGUCAUCAUGCCCCUUAUGUCCAGGGCUUCACACAUGCUACAAUGGCCGGUACAAAGGGCUGCGAUGCCGUGAGGUGGAGCGAAUCCUUUCAAAGCCGGUCUCAGUUCGGAUCGGGGUCUGCAACUCGACCCCGUGAAGUCGGAGUCGCUAGUAAUCGCAGAUCAGCAACGCUGCGGUGAAUACGUUCCCGGGCCUUGUACACACCGC
Molecule: ribosomal RNA, 1353 nt
Filed under: uncultured bacterium
Lineage: Bacteria
Description: bacterial SSU rRNA
Rfam family: Bacterial small subunit ribosomal RNA
Source: RNAcentral